CUGGGGUAUUCAAGUCAUUUGAAGUUAUGUUUCAACAGAUUAAAAAUGCUUUAUAAUUUCUGGUUUUAGUGAUUCGUUAUCACCGUCAACCCUUUUUCAAAAGAUGCAGAAAAAAAUCUUUAACAAAUAAGUUGCAGAUCAAUCUGAGAAAACGUCAGGACACGGAAAAAAUGCAGUAUAAUGGAAUUAAAAUUUUGGACUGAAUUAAUUGUUACAUGCUCCUUGCUAAUAAAACACUUCAUUACUUGUUAAAAAUCAGAAUAUUAUGCAAUAAAUAAUAUGCAUUGUUUAA
Long non-coding RNA from Stegostoma tigrinum, 292 nucleotides. RefSeq lists it as uncharacterized. The transcript has 2 exons. NCBI's taxonomy places the organism in Eukaryota, Metazoa, Chordata, Chondrichthyes, Orectolobiformes, Stegostomatidae. The record is from RefSeq and is a predicted model, not a curated record.